This 301-nucleotide ribosomal RNA is filed under the name uncultured bacterium. RNAcentral's name for it is "partial 16S ribosomal RNA". It matches the Rfam family "Bacterial small subunit ribosomal RNA", at positions 509 to 807 of the family's 1533-position model. The record is from RNAcentral.
CAGUAGCCGCGGGAAUACGGAGGGCGCGAGCGUUACCCGGAUUUACUGGGCGUAAAGCGUACGUAGGUGGUGGUUUAAGUCCGUUGUGAAAGCCCUGGGCUCAACCUGGGAAUUGCAGUGGAUACUGGGUCACUAGAGUGUGGUAGAGGAUAGUGGAAUUUCCGGUGUAGCAGUGAAAUGCGUAGAGAUCGGAAGGAACACCUGUGGCGAAAGCGGCUCACUGGACCAUUUCUGACGCUGAUGCACGAAAGCUAGGGGAGCAAACAGGAUUAGAUACCCCUGUAGUCCCUGUCUCUUAUAC